RNAcentral lists this long non-coding RNA (269 nucleotides) under Oreochromis niloticus (Nile tilapia). RNAcentral's name for it is "lncRNA (ENSONIG00000031574.1)". Lineage: Eukaryota; Metazoa; Chordata; Actinopteri; Cichliformes; Cichlidae. The record is from RNAcentral.
AAAAUCAGGACUGGAGCUGAGGGUGGAGCUACACGGUGGCAUAACGUGUGGGGCAUCCCAAGGACUUGAGUGAUAACCAGGACAUUUUGUAACCACAUCUUAUCCAAGGCGGCUCCAUUCAUUCUGUGUGACUGCGGCUGCUGCAGGGGAAGCCAGGGGCUGCUGAGGAGCAGGAGGAGGAGGAGGAUGCUGGAGCUGUGUGUGCAUGGGAGAGCGUGGGCCCGGCGCUCCUCUCAGCGGGCCAACAAAAGGUAAGAAAAUGGUCCAGU